Ictalurus punctatus (channel catfish) is the source of this 1012-nucleotide long non-coding RNA. Lineage: Eukaryota; Metazoa; Chordata; Actinopteri; Siluriformes; Ictaluridae. The record is from Ensembl.
CAACACCACAGACUUGACUAACAGCAUAUUAAUUGUGGAACGAGGGUAACAAUAAAUGUGAUUUUUUUUACCUGCUUUCAUUUGAGAGUAAGGGUCGGUAACUGUGAGGAAUUACAAUGUAACGAUUUAUCAUUGAUAUACAUAACUACUUAUGUAAGGAAAUGUAGACUCUAUCCACCUCAAGGAAGGGGACCUGGUGAGGGUAGGAAAAUGGUUGCUGGUAAACCUGGAGUCUAUCCCAGGGAGCAUCGGGCACAAGGCGGGGUACACCCUGGACAGGGUGCCAAUCCAUCACAGGCCACACAGACACAUUCACACACCCAUUCAUACACUAUGGACACUUUAGACAUGCCAAUCAGCCUACCAUGCAUGUCUUUGGACUGGGGAAGGAAACCGGAGUUCCCGGAGGAAACCCCCGCAGCAUGGGGAGGACAUGCAAACUCCACACACACAGGGCCAUGGUGGGAAUCGAACCCCCGACCCUGGAGGUGUGAGGCGAACGUGCUAACUACUAAGCCACCAUGCGCCCUUUAAAGAAAUAUAUAUUUCAAUGAAAAAUUUGAAUCAUAUUUUAUAAAAGAUAAAUAACAACUUAAGUCCUCCCAAAGAGAUUUAACCUGAUUGUAAUGGUAGAGUAAAUAAAUGAUGCAAAGGUUCUUCCUCGACUUUGCAGUUCCCUUGAUUCCCCUUCAGGGCGUUUGUGCAAAAUCACGCACGUGAUGACGUUUUCUGAUUAUAUGCUUUAUCAUCGCGUGUGUUCGUUUAUAGCGUUAUUAUUUUUCUUUUCAUCAGCAUAAGGUAAAUUUCACAUUGUUUGUUAGAUAGUUUGCAAGUAAAUACAUGCUUUAAAAGUAUAUAAUGUAUUGUUGUCAGAGGUUCUAUUGCUCAGUCUUUAUUCUAAUAUACUUCCGCUUUUGAAUUCUCGAUUCUGAUUGGCUGACAGACGUUCUGAGGUGUGCAGUUAUUUAUUUCUCAGUAAAUGCACAGCUAAAGUAGUUCCAGUCAGGUCUUG